GACGAACGCUGGCGGCGUGCUUAACACAUGCAAGUCGAACGGAAAGGCCCUGCUUUUGUGGGGUGCUCGAGUGGCGAACGGGUGAGUAACACGUGAGUAACCUGCCCUUGACUUUGGGAUAACUUCAGGAAACUGGGGCUAAUACCGGAUAGGAGCUCCUGCUGCAUGGUGGGGGUUGGAAAGUUUCGGCGGUUGGGGAUGGACUCGCGGCUUAUCAGCUUGAUGGUGGGGUAGUGGCUUACCAAGGCUUUGACGGGUAGCCGGCCUGAGAGGGUGACCGGCCACCUUGGGACUGAGAUACGGCCCAGAAUCCUACGGGAGGCAGCAGUGGGGAAUAUUGCACAAUGGGCGGAAGCCUGAUGCAGCAACGCCGCGUGCGGGAUGACGGCCUUCGGGUUGUAAACCGCUUUCGCCUGUGACGAAGCGUGAGUGACGGUAAUGGGUAAAGAAGCACCGGCUAACUACGUG
RNAcentral lists this ribosomal RNA (468 nucleotides) under uncultured bacterium. Its description in RNAcentral is "partial 16S ribosomal RNA". It matches the Rfam family "Bacterial small subunit ribosomal RNA", at positions 28 to 507 of the family's 1533-position model. The record is from RNAcentral.